RNAcentral lists this long non-coding RNA (4710 nucleotides) under Coffea arabica (coffee). RNAcentral's name for it is "long non-coding RNA (CARA_LNC005791)". The record is from RNAcentral. Lineage: Eukaryota; Viridiplantae; Streptophyta; Magnoliopsida; Gentianales; Rubiaceae.
CACUUGGAAAUUUGUCUAACUUACAUUCUUUAGAUUUGUCACAAAAUAUUUUAUCAGGACAAAUCCCUUCUAGUCUGGGAAAUUUGAAAAAUUUGACUCACUUCAAUGUCUCUUAUAAUAACCUUUCUGGGGCUAUUCCUUUGGUACAAAGCAUCCAAGGAUUUGGAUCUUCAGCCUUUUCAAAUAAUCCAGGCCUCUGUGGUGCUCCAUUGGAGACAUCAUGUGCACCCAAUGGCACCAAAACUGAAACAGGAAAGCCAAAGUUGAGCCCUUCAGCCAUUGUUGCUAUUGUUGCAGCUGCUGUGAUCCUCACAGGUGUCUGUGUGAUAACAGUGAUGAACAUCAAGACUCGCAGGGGGAGACGAGAAGAUGAAGCAGUGGUUGUAGUAGAAAGCACUCCACUGGCAUCAACAGAUUCAAAUGUCAUAAUCGGAAAGUUGGUUCUGUUCAGCAAGGCUUUGCCCUCAAAGUAUGAAGAUUGGGAGGCUGGUACUAAAGCAUUGCUGGAUAAGGAGUGUCUAAUUGGUGGGGGUUCCAUUGGAACAGUGUACAAAACUACUUUUGAGGGUGAGAUCUCUAUUGCUGUGAAGAAGCUUGAGACCUUGGGAAGAAUCAGAAACCAAGAUGAGUUUGAGCAAGAAAUUGGAAGAUUGGGAAAUCUUCGACACCCAAAUCUUGUUGCUUUCCAAGGUUACUAUUGGUCCUCCAGUAUGCAGUUAAUUUUAUCUGAAUUUGUUCCAAAUGGAAAUCUGUAUGAUAAUUUACAUGGGCUUAGUUAUCCUGGAACCAGCACCGGUGCUGGUAAUCCUGAAUUAAACUGGUCAAGGAGGUUUCAGAUAGCCUUGGGUACUGCCAGAGCCCUAGCCUACCUUCAUCAUGACUGCAGACCUCCUGUUCUUCAUCUCAAUGUCAAGUCCACUAACAUUCUCCUUGACGACAACUAUGAAGCUAAAUUGUCCGACUAUGGUUUGGGGAAGUUACUUCCUCUGCUGGACAAUUUUGGGCUAACCAAUUUUCACAAUGCAGUUGGUUAUGUUGCACCUGAGUUAGCUCAAAGUCUCAGACUAAGUGAUAAAUGUGAUGUUUACAGUUUUGGCGUAAUUAUGUUAGAAUUAGUUACUGGAAAGAAACCUGUGGAAAGCCCGGCAGCAACUGAGGUGGUGAUUUUGUGUGAAUAUGUUAGGGAUUUGAUAGAAAGGGGUACUGCUUCAGACUGUUUCGAUAGAAGUUUGCGUGGUUUUGCAGAAAACGAGCUGAUUCAGGUUAUGAGAUUGGGAUUAAUUUGUACUUCUGAAGUGCCUACCAGGAGGCCAAGCAUGGCUGAGGUAGUUCAGUUUCUUGAGUCCAUCAGAAAUGGUUUAGGCUUAUAGCAAGUCAACAGAAAGAACUGUUGGACAACCAUGGCAUUCAGAGUACAUGUGGGGUGAUUAGGAGUUUAACUUUUUCAGUAUAAAGAUACAAAAGAUUCUUUUGUAUUCAUUUUGUGAUUCAUCAUCAUCAAUUGUUCCCUGUAAUUCUGCAAUAAAUUCAUUCGUUUUUUUAUCAUCUCUCGAUGCAAUCAGAGAAGAGUUUGUAGCAACUCAUUCUCUUCCAUCUGCUUUUAACUCAGCAUUUCUAUACUGGUACAUAAACUGCUUUCCUAGACUCCUAAUAUCAAUACUAACAUCUUCUUAAGCCGAGGGUUACCAGCUUCUUCACUGGGAUAUAUGUUUUUAUCUCAUUGCCCUGUGGAUUUAGUUCCAAGAAUACGUAGGCAAGGAAGAUGCUAUUUGCUGCAAAAUGCUCCGUUUCUGCAUCAAGCUUGAAGAUGUCAAUUUAUAGUGAAGAAAUGAAAGCGCUUGGUUGUUUUUAUCAUAUUUGGUCAUCCCGUGGACACCAGAAUUUCCACUACUUUGAGUGAGAAGGAGAUAGUAAUUAAUCACUUUAACUCAAUUGUUGCACAAAAUUGAUUGCAGAGGAAAGAGAGUGACAUAACCAAUUCUCUGUCCUAGACAAAUGUAAGAGUUCUUCUAAACUUAUUAUUACUACCAGAAAAAGGUCGUGACUUGCUUUUUGCAUCAGCAUUAAAUGACCUAUUUACAAUUUCAGAUAUUUAAGGCAAAUAAACUCUUCGAUUUUGCAAUAGCAGAAUGAAGAAACCUACUAAGACACAUCAAGGCCUUGUAGACACUCAGCUCAUGAGUACAUGAUACUGUUCAGGCGUGCCAGAAAUGUUUUGACUCCGAGUUCCUGCCAGAACUGUUCCUGUCAGCUCAUGAGUAUCUCCAUCUCUGAAAUGAACGGAAGACACUUCAUCUUUAAACAGCCAGAACUGCAGACAAAACCAGAUCAUCAAAUGCAGCACGGGUCUCCAAUUCUAAGUUCCUCCACCAAUUGUUCCCAAACAAUCUGAUAUCUUCAAAUCAUCCCUCAAUGAUUCCCCUCAUCUGGUCUGGUUCUGACGUAGCCUGAAACUCACAGAAUUCUACAAGAGGACAUCCUCCAAAGAAAUUGUAGGGUUUUGAUUCUUUAGCUGAAUGAGCAAAGCAAUAUCAACUCAACUACGAGAUUUACAGAUUUCAGAAACUUUCCUAAUACGAUCCAUGACUACAGGAAUAUCAUUUUCGCUCAGGGUGGUGAAGCAUAAUCUGAACCAACCAGGUUCAAUACAGUGACAGGAAGAUCCGGGAGUAACAUUAACCUUACCCACACUCAAAAGCUUAUCCCAAAGCUCAAGUUCUCCUUUUUCAUUAUAAGAUCUGAUUAGCCCACUCAUGUCCAUCCAACAGUAGAAACCUCCAUUACUCUUCAUGCACUCAAUUCCCAACUGCUUUAGUCCGGUAACAAAUGCAUUGUACAUCCUUUCAAGUCUUUCCCGAUUAUUCUUCAUAAACAAGUGGAUGAAUUUUGUGUCUGCCAGCAUUGAGAUAAGCAAACGCUGGCUUGGAGCUGAAAUGGAUGAAAAUCUUGCCAACUUUUUAGCAGCAGCCAAAACAUUCUCAUUAAAAGUAUAAAUAACUCCAACCCUAAAGCCUGGAAGAGAGAGAUCCUUCGAAAGACCAUACACUAUAUGGACUCUUGUCCGAUCAAAAUCUUCAGAAUCAAUUAUCUCUGCCAAACUGACAAAAUCUUCACUUCCAUGAGUGGAUCCUGCCAAUAUUUCAUUGGAAAUGAGGUGAAUAUUCUUCUCUGUUGCAAAGUCCAAAAGACUAUAAAGUGUCUCUCGAUUGAACAAAUUGCCCACAGGAUUUGAAGGGUUCGAAAUUAUGAUCCCACGAACUUUAAGCCCCCGUUUCCUUGCUUGGUUAAAGGUUCGAUCAAGAGCAGUAGUACUCAGACAGAAAUUGUCAGCACUGCGGCAAGGUAUGGGUAUAAUUUCGACACCUGUUCGCCAUUUUACAUCCCUGUCAAGACUGGACCAUAACUUAUGACAUCAGUGCCUGGACAAAAGAAGCUGAUGACCAGAGAUAAAUAUUCUGUGAACAGUCAAUUAAUCUUACUCGGGAUAAUAUGGUGAUGGAACAAGAAAUGCAUUUCCAGGAUCAGCUAAGCAGAAACUGAGAAUUUCAAUUGCAGGGGUUGCACCAGCUGUCAAAACAAUUUGUGAAGGGUUGAAGGAUACUGAUUUGUCCAUUACUUGAGACAUGAAUCCAGCUACUGCCUAUAAGACUAGUGAAAUCAGCAUAUACAGCAACAAGAUAAAAAGCAAGUCCAAGCACCGUACACAUGAUUGCAAGUCAGCUAAUUGAAGAGACAAAUUGGAUAUCCUAAUAGCUGGAAGCUAUAAGAGCUACGCCUAGAGCCAAAAGUAAGCUAUAAGAGCUACGCCUAGAGCCAAAAAGUCAAACUUUAUCCGAGUCCAUGUUAAUAGUAACCUGUGGACUUAUUGCCCGAAUAAUUACGUUUAAGACUCCAAAAGUGGCAGGGGGAGAGAAAGUGCUACUACAAGAAGCAGAAACAUAUUCAAAACUAUCAUCUUUUAACUAAAGUGAGUUAGCAACUAGUGUUCAUUAAGCACAUCUGUCAAUAUCAUAAUUAUGCAGACACAGUACUUUGGUUAGGACACUCAGUAAUGUCAAAGCCAUUAUUUACAAGUGACAAGUCACAUACAACAAAUUGUAGUGACCAAACUUGUAAUUCAUUGUUUGAAAACCACAAUUGAUGGGACCAUUCCAAAAGAAUUUGGGAGUAUUGAAUGGCUCCAAGCUCUGGAUCUGCAUAAUCUGGGCAUCAGUGGUGAGAUACCAGAUGAGAUAACCAACUGCAGAUUUCUUCGUGAGCUGUGAGUCCAAUUUUUCUAUCCAAUUCUCUGUCUAAAUUAUCCAUAUUGCUUUCACUCUGUGUUUGAAUGGACUUUGUAAUGUUGCUGCAGGGAUGUUUCUGGAAACUCGUUACGGGGCAGCAUACCGCAAAACCUCUACAACAUGUCAUACCUUGUAAUUCUUGACCUACGUAGCAACCAGCUUAAUGGGAGCAUACCAUCCACACUUGGAAAUUUGUCUAACUUACAUUCUUUAGAUUUGUCACAAAAUAUUUUAUCAGGACAAAUCCCUUCUAGUCUGGGAAAUUUGAAAAAUUUGACUCACUUCAAUGUCUCUUAUAAUAACCUUUCUGGGGCUAUUCCUUUGGUACAAAGCAUCCAAGGAUUUGGAUCUUCAGCCUUUUCAAAUAAUCCAGGCCUCUGUGGUGCUCCAUUGGAGACAUCAUGUGCACCCAAUGGCACCAAAACUG